GACGAACGCUGGCGGCGUGCUUAACACAUGCAAGUCGAACGAAGUGGCGAACGGGUGAGUAAUACGUGAGUAACCUGCCCUCCUUUUUGGGAUAAGCCUUGGAAACGGGGUCUAAUACCGGAUAAGGGGGGAUGGGCUCGGGGCCUAUCGGCUCGUUGGUGGGGUGAUGGCCUACCAAGGCGGUGACGGGUAGCGGGCAUGAGAGGGUGACCGGCCACAUUGGGACUGCGCUAAGGCCCAGGGUACUACGGGGGAAAGAAGUGUGGGAUAUUGCACAAUGGGCGAAAGCCUGAUGCAGCGACGCUGAGUGGGGGAUGACGGCUUUAGGAUUGUAAUCCUAGUUCACUAUCGAACGGGUAGGUGGAGAAGAAGCGCCGGCUAACUACGUGCCAGCAGCCGCGGUAAUUC
This 408-nucleotide ribosomal RNA is filed under the name uncultured bacterium. RNAcentral's name for it is "partial 16S ribosomal RNA". It matches the Rfam family "Bacterial small subunit ribosomal RNA", at positions 28 to 526 of the family's 1533-position model. The record is from RNAcentral.